AGUAAAACCAAACAAAAGAAAAACAAAAAAGGUUAGCAAACAAUAUAAAAGAAAGUGUUAAAGCUACAGAAAGUGCAAAUAUUUCACAUUCAUAUUUAUUUCCCAGCACAUAUGGUAAAUGGAGUUCUUUAGUUUGGAGGGGAUUUGGUUGAGCUGAUUCGCAAACAAUACGAACACUACGAGAACAUUUAUUACCUAGAGGCCCUACAUGCCAACACCCUGCUUCUCCUGGGAAAUUGUCAUGUCAGCAGCAAACCAUCUUGCUAAUGUCUAUCUGCAAUAAUUAGGGUAUAUUUAUAUGCACAAAUAAAAGCUUGACUUGAGUGGUUUGAUUGAUGAUGCAACAUAAAUCAGCAGUAGCAAGUGAACUUUGGGGAUAG
Molecule: long non-coding RNA, 380 nt
Organism: Nanorana parkeri
Lineage: Eukaryota; Metazoa; Chordata; Amphibia; Anura; Dicroglossidae
Exons: 3
Source: RefSeq, a predicted model, not a curated record